RNAcentral lists this ribosomal RNA (157 nucleotides) under uncultured bacterium. RNAcentral describes it as "partial 16S ribosomal RNA". It matches the Rfam family "Bacterial small subunit ribosomal RNA", at positions 355 to 509 of the family's 1533-position model. The record is from RNAcentral.
UGAGGAAUAUUGGUCAAUGGGCGAGAGCCUGAACCAGCCAAGUAGCGUGAAGGAUGACUGCCCUAUGGGUUGUAAACUUCUUUUAUAAAGGAAUAAAGUCGGGUAUGCAUACCCGUUUGCAUGUACUUUAUGAAUAAGGAUCGGCUAACUCCGUGCC